UACGUAGGGACCGAGCGUUGUCCGGAAUCAUUGGGCGUAAAGAGCGUGUAGGCGGCCAGAUAAGUCCGCUGUGAAAUCUCGAGGCUCAACUUCGAGCUGUCGGUGGAAACUGUCUGGCUAGAGUCCGGAAGAGGAGAAUGGAAUUCCUGGUGUAGCGGUGAAAUGCGCAGAUAUCAGGAAGAACACCCGUGGCGAAGGCGGUUCUCUGGGACGGUACUGACGCUGAGACGCGAAAGCGUGGGGAGCGAACAGG
This 253-nucleotide ribosomal RNA is filed under the name uncultured bacterium. RNAcentral describes it as "partial 16S ribosomal RNA". It matches the Rfam family "Bacterial small subunit ribosomal RNA", at positions 524 to 776 of the family's 1533-position model. The record is from RNAcentral.